RNAcentral lists this ribosomal RNA (274 nucleotides) under uncultured bacterium. RNAcentral describes it as "partial 16S ribosomal RNA". It matches the Rfam family "Bacterial small subunit ribosomal RNA", at positions 523 to 796 of the family's 1533-position model. The record is from RNAcentral.
AUACGGAGGGUGCGAGCGUUGUUCGGAAUUAUUGGGCGUAAAGAGCAUGUAGGCGGUCUGUUAAGUCUGGUGUGAAAGCCCGGGGCUCAACCCCGGAAGUGCAUUGGAUACUGGCAGACUUGAGUAUGGGAGAGGAAAGCGGAAUUCCGUGUGUAGGAGUGAAAUCCGUAGAUAUUCGGAGGAACACCAGUGGCGAAGGCGGCUUUCUGGACCAAUACUGACGCUGAGAUGCGAAAGCGUGGGGAGCGAACAGGAUUAGAAACCCCUGUAGUCC